Molecule: long non-coding RNA, 758 nt
Filed under: Gossypium barbadense (sea-island cotton)
Lineage: Eukaryota; Viridiplantae; Streptophyta; Magnoliopsida; Malvales; Malvaceae
Description: long non-coding RNA (GBAR_LNC010677)
Source: RNAcentral
GCCACACAGAAACGACGCCAUUUUAGUUAAAAAAAUUUAGAUUUUGUGGCGUUUUCAUAAAACGCCACUAAUAAAAAUAACAAAAAAGUAUAAACCGACAGCAUUUUGCUUCCAUGGAUAAUUGUGGCGUUUUUCAAUAAAACGCCGGUAAACUUUAAUAUCAUUUAGCCUUUAUAUUUUUAUAAUAUUAUUAAUUAAUCAAAAUACUUAAUAUUAUUAACACUAAUUAAUCAAAACUCUAUACCUUAAACCAUUAAACUAUAUCCCUAUAACCUUAAUCCCUAAAGUAUAUCCCUUAAACCCUAAACUAUAUCCCCUAACCAUAAACCACAAAAUAAUAACCCCUAAGCCUUAACCACAAAAUGUAUAGAUUAAUCAUAACCUUAAACUAUAUCUCUUGAUCCUUAAACCACAAAAUAAUAACACUAAUUAAUCAAUACUCUGAACCUUAAACCAUUAAACUAUAUCCCCUACUAAAGUACCGGCCUAAACUAUAUCCCUUAAACCUUAAACCACAAAAUAAAAACCCCUAAGUAUUAACCCAUAACCCCUAACCCUUAACCCCUAACCCCUAACCCAUAACCCUUAAAUCAUAAACCCCGACCCUUAAACCAUAAUACAUAAACCUUAAAAUAGUAACUCAUAAACUUUAAACCCUUAAUCAUAUAACCUAAAUCGUAAACCCUAAACUUUUUAGCGGCGUUUUACCAAAAGCGCCGCUAAUGCUCUUAUUUUUAGCGGCGUUUUACCAAAAGCGC